AUUUGCUGCCUCCGUCUGUACCGGAAAUGGAGAUCAAGGGCAACAAUUCCAUUCUGGUCUCAUGGCGUGCUGUGGUACGAGAAAAAUAUCCGAUCGAUUAUUUUUUCGUAGAAUAUUACCAAUAUAACCGCUGUGAGUUCUGCUCUAAAUGCUGUACGUGGGUCAACAAUGAGCCAAAGAAUAAAUCAUCGAAUGAAUCUUAUCACGAGGAGCUAAUCAAUAUUCUCGAGCCAAAUUUUGAUUAUAAGUUUAGAAUCUACAUAAUAUAUUGGAACGGAGAGAUUAUUCCAGGAGAAUUUUGCGAGCCAAUAAAACUUGUGUGGCCUCUUUAAAUUUGGAUACAUUUAGUCGAUUAGUUUCCGAGUUGCGGCCUCCACCCCACACAGACUACUGUACUCAAGGCAAGUGGGGUGCCACAAUUUUUCCAUCCAGUGCUUUAAAAGGAACAGUUAUCGUUGAAUAUUAAUGAGUUUUUAAAAUUCAUAAGAUACUUUGAAUAUUUGAGUCAAACAAAGCUAGGUACUACAACAUAGAGGUAUAUUACUGAUUUAAGGAUUUAGCUUCGCCUAUGCGGUGCACUUCUUCGUUGUUAAAUGCGUAGUAAAAAAGACUUUGAUUUUGUUAUUGGUGUUUGUGUUUUUUAUGCAAGUUGUGAAUAAUAAAAUUCAUCAGAUCUAAAGUAGCUUUUUUCAUUUUUACGCCGCAAUUAGAAUGCAUCGAGUUUAUAGCCGGACUUCUAUACAGAUUUUUCAAGAAUGCAGAGCCCUGCAGUUCGAAUCGUGAAAAAUCAAGGCAAUACUGUGAAGUUUGGUGUGACACUCGUUUUGUGAUACAAAACUCUCUCUAUGCAAGAUAUUAAUUGCACCAUAAAGAGAUGAGGAAUAAGGCAUAAAGUGAAACCUACCAUCAUGAUUGCUUGUUAUCAAACAUUAAAAGUGAUUAUUAACGAGAUAAAUGAGUAGCUUUCAAUGUUUUUCUAUUCAGGCUGCAUGAUGAGCUUGUUUACGAAAUGUCGAACUGUACGACCUGAAGUGAGGUGGCCACUCAUAUUAAUUCUCCUUACAUACACUGCAGUGUUCGGAUACACAGUUGCCGCGAAAAAAGACAAUCACAUCCAGGCUCACGAACCACGAAGUGACGAACCUUUCACGAAACGAGUCUGUGCUCGGCCAUCGAAGAAGCUUCAUCGACUAGCUCGAUCGAGUGACUUUGUCGAAGGCUAUGACGUCAACGGCGAAAGAGCAAACCAUCUGUUGUUGGCAGAGAAGGACGAUGAGCAAGAAGAUGUUGACGGUGUCCUGCAAGAGGCCGAGACUGAAAUGAUUAAGCAGCGAUCCCGGUGCGGUCUACCGCUUGGCGUUGAAGCAAAAGUCGUUGACGAGAGGUCUUUCAAUAUAAGUUGGUACACAGAAACCCCGCAAAGGAUCCCGAUCAAAUAUUUCAUGUUGGAAUAUGAUCAGGCAAAAAGAGAGAACGAGACGGUGAUCCAGUGUCGGCAGUGGGUUGAAUCCGAAAGCAGCGUCAAAAACAAGACUCACUCCUUUCAUAAUCAUCUCAUCACUGCAUUGACUAACGGUCAUUUUUACCAGUUCCGUGUAGUGUCCCAUUGCAACGACUACAUGACCAGCGCUUCGCCUAAAACUGCGUGGAUAUACAUGCCCGGCGACGGCGGUGCAUUGCGGGUAACCCACCCUCCCGGCUUCACUCCUCCUCCGUUUCCUGCGCACUGGUAGCUGAUUUCUAAUUAUAUUAUUCGAUACUUUGGUCUCACUCCUUGAAAACUGUCGUGUAAUUGAGCUAAAAACGAAAGUAAAAACUGUGAAGGAAGUUGUAAAUAAAAUGUAUUGUAACGAGAAAUUUCAAAAUAAUUUUGUCUGCACCUACACAUUUACGUCAUUAACCUGAAACCUCAUCUAGUACUACACUUCCUACCUACAGAGAUUGAAAGUGUGGUUAUCGAGGGGGACGGGAGGGGGGCAAUUUUAUUUUUAUGGAUGCAAGUAAUGCUGAGUGUUUACUAUAGCGAAUAACAAUUUUUAGGUCGUGUUCCGUACUUCUGUCCUUCCAACCUACAUAUAUUUUACGAUACCUAGAAAAAGUCAGUUUUGUUAAAAAAAAAAAAAAAAUCUGAGCCUUUCUUACCAAGAAAUUGAUCAAAUCACAAAGUCAAAGAUAAAAAAUAUGUAACGUUUAUAAUUAGCAAAAUACUUUACAUUUUUUGGAAAGGACCGAGGAGAUAUUGGGAUGGGAGCUGUUCUUUGGAAAAGAUGAUACAUAGGCUGUUCAAAAAGUAAGUAGACUGAAGCUGUAACUUGAAAACCAAUGUAUGCAAAUAGCUGUUCUUGAUUUCAUUUUAAAGAUCAACUCAUUAUCUAUCGAUUGAAACAAAGAUCAACUCAUUUGGUCAAAAAUUGAGAAAGUUAUGCAAGUUUAAACUUUGAAAGUAAGUUUGACCCCUGCGGUUUUUAUUGAAGAUUUUCAAUCACCGAAAUUAGGAUGUUUCGUCUUCGUUUCCACUAUCAUCUGACUCUUCGGGCUUGACACUGACCGUAUUAAUGUUUUCCGCAGUUAAAGACGUCAAAGGUCGACCAGACUUUGGGAGAACUUCAGCAGACUUCCGACCGUCUUUAGACUUUUUAUGCCAACGGAAAAUUGCGGCCCGACACAAACACUCAUCUCCGUACGCGUCUUUCAUCUCAUUCAGCGUGUCCGUUGCUGAUAAUCCGCGUCGAACAAAAUAACGAAUGAAAAAGUGUUGUUCUUUUUCAACUUUCUUAUCUUUUUCCAUAUCGACUGCACAAAAAUUAGAGCAAAAUGCAACAAAAAUCACUAAAAGACUGCGAUAAACCCGCGCGCACCUGUGACUUGUCACCGACUGAGGAAACUUCCCGAGUUUACGGGGUAAGUCCAGCUUAUCGGGCUUCUUCCCCUUAUGGACCCGUAUGUACCCUAGUCGGUCGACGAUUACGGAAAAGUGUUUACACAGUGUGCUAUUCAUGGUUGCCAAGUGUUUCUGGUAAAAUGAUGUAUCAAAACGUAUUUCAAGUGACAACUUUUGGCAAGCGAAAAUUUUCAAUAAAAACCGUAGGGGUCAAACUUACUUUCAAAGUUUAAACUUGCAUAACUUUCUCAAUUUUUGACCAAACGAGUUGAUCUUGGUCUCAAUCGAUAGAUAAUGAGUUGAUCUUUAAAAUGAAACCAAGAACAGCUAUCUGCAUACAUUGGUUUUCAAGUUACAGCUUCAGUCUACUUACUUUUUGAACAGCCUAUGUACAAUGAAUAAUCUCUAAUCAAAAGACCAAGCAUUAGACGAAAAGUAUCCUUGAAAGCUUGUCAUCGUGAUAAGUUGUUAUCAAACAUUAAAA
RNAcentral lists this long non-coding RNA (3365 nucleotides) under Bemisia tabaci. Its description in RNAcentral is "lncRNA ENSSSA1NGG014424". The record is from RNAcentral. Lineage: Eukaryota; Metazoa; Arthropoda; Insecta; Hemiptera; Aleyrodidae.